GACGAACGCUGGCGGCGUGCUUAACUCAUGCAAGUCGAACGGAAAGGCCCUGCUUGCAGGGUACUCGAGUGGCGAACGGGUGAGUAACACGUGGGUGAUCUGCCCUGCACUUCGGGAUAAGCCUGGGAAACUGGGUCUAAUACCGGAUAGGAGCCAUUUUUAGUGUGAUGGUUGGAAAGUUUUUUCGGUGUAGGAUGAGCUCGCGGCCUAUCAGCUUGUUGGUGGGGUAAUGGCCUACCAAGGCGGCGACGGGUAGCCGGCCUGAGAGGGUGGACGGCCACAGUGGGACUGAGAUACGGCCCAGACUCCUACGGGAGGCAGCAGUGGGGAAUAUUGCACAAUGGGCGCAAGCCUGAUGCAGCGACGCCGCGUGGGGGAUGACGGCCUUCGGGUUGUAAACUCCUUUCGCUAGGGACGAAGCUUUUGUGACGGUACCUAGAUAAGAAGCACCGGCUAACUACGUG
RNAcentral lists this ribosomal RNA (464 nucleotides) under uncultured bacterium. RNAcentral describes it as "partial 16S ribosomal RNA". It matches the Rfam family "Bacterial small subunit ribosomal RNA", at positions 28 to 507 of the family's 1533-position model. The record is from RNAcentral.